CCCAGACUCCUACGGGAGGCAGGAGUGGGGAAUAUUGCACAAUGGGCGAAAGCCUGAUGCAGCGACGCCGCGUGAGGGAUGACGGCCUUCGGGUUGUAAACCUCUUUCAGCAGGGAAGAAGCGAAAGUGACGGUACCUGCAGAAGAAGCGCCGGCUAACUACGUGCCAGCAGCCGCGGUAAUACGUAGGGCGCAAGCGUUGUCCGGAAUUAUUGGGCGUAAAGAGCUCGUAGGCGGCUUGUCACGUCGGAUGUGAAAGCCCGGGGGCUUAACCCGCGGGUCUGCAGUUAGAUACGGGCUAGCUAGAGUGUGGUAGGGGAGAUCGGCAAUUCCUGGUGUAGCGGUGAAAUGCGCAGAUAUCAGGAGGAACACCGGUGGCGAAGGCGGAUCUCUGGGCCAUUACUGCCGCUGAGGAGCGAAAGCGUGGGGGAGCGAACAGGAUUAGAUACCCUGGUAGUCCACCCCGUAAAACGUUGGGAACUAGGUGUUGGCGACAUUCCACGUCGUCGGUGCCGCAGCUAACGCAUGAAGUUCCCCGCCUGGGGAGUACGGCCGCAAGGCUAAAACUCAAAGGAAUUGACGGGGGGCCCGCACAAGCAGCGGAGCAUGUGGCUUAAUUCGACGCAACGCGAAGAACCUUACCAAGGCUUGACAUAUACCGGAAAGCAUCAGAGAUGGUGCCCCCCUUGUGGUCGGUAUACAGGUGGUGCAUGGCUGUCGUCAGCUCGUGUCGUGAGAUGUUGGGUUAAGUCCCGCAACGAGCGCAACCCUUGUUCUGUGUUGCCAGCAUGCCCUUCGGGGUGAUGGGGACUCACAGGAGACUGCCGGGGUCAACUCGGAGGAAGGUGGGGACGACGUCAAGUCAUCAUGCCCCUUAUGUCUUGGGCUGCACACGUGCUACAAUGGCCGGUACAAUGAGCUGCGAUGCCGCGAGGCGGAGCGAAUCUCAAAAAGCCGGUCUCAGUUCGGAUUGGGGUCUGCAACUCGACCCCAUGAAGUCGGAGUUGCUAGUAAUCGCAGAUCAGCAUUGCUGCGGUGAAUACGUUCCCGGGCCUUGUACACACCGCCCGUC
This 1071-nucleotide ribosomal RNA is filed under the name Streptomyces sp. RNAcentral describes it as "bacterial SSU rRNA". It matches the Rfam family "Bacterial small subunit ribosomal RNA", at positions 330 to 1398 of the family's 1533-position model. The record is from RNAcentral. Lineage: Bacteria; Bacillati; Actinomycetota; Actinomycetes; Kitasatosporales; Streptomycetaceae.